UACAGAGGGUGCGAGCGUUAAUCGGAAUUACUGGGCGUAAAGCGCGCGUAGGCGGUUCGUUAAGUCAAAUGUGAAAUCCCCGAGCUUAACUUGGGAAUUGCAUUCGAUACUGGCGAGCUAGAGUAUGGGAGAGGAAGGUAGAAUUCCAGGUGUAGCGGUGAAAUGCGUAGAGAUCUGGAGGAAUACCGAUGGCGAAGGCAGCCUUCUGGCCUAAUACUGACGCUGAGGUGCGAAAGCAUGGGGAGCAAACAGG
RNAcentral lists this ribosomal RNA (253 nucleotides) under uncultured prokaryote. RNAcentral describes it as "partial 16S ribosomal RNA". It matches the Rfam family "Bacterial small subunit ribosomal RNA", at positions 524 to 776 of the family's 1533-position model. The record is from RNAcentral.